GCCACCUCCAGCGCCCAGCAAACCCUAGCCCUCUCCCCUCCACGCCGCCGCCACCUACCUCCCUCUACCCUUUCUCUUUUCUCCUCCCUGUGAGCAAACGAAGGGGAAGAGCCUCACAGCACCAUCUCCACCUCGCCAUGGCGCCGUCACGUCAGGCCGCCCCUCGCCAAGCCGAGGGCACCGGAAGAACCGCAUCGUCGUCCUCUCCAUUCCCCCCAAAGGAAUCGACCCGAGACUCUCUAAGUCCCUGGCAAAUUCGCCGUUCCCCUCUCCUACCGACCGAACUCCGGCGUCAAUUCCGGCCGCCACGGUGCUCCCUCGUCGUUUCCGGGCAUGGAUUCGUCUUCCUGAUGCUCGUCGCCGGCGGCUGUCCGGUGAGCCCCUGGACCCGGCACCACCACCAUCAGGUUCCCCACGAUGAGGCGCAUCCCCGAAGCCAGGUCCCGCGUCCUGGUUCGUUUGGAAUAGAGAGAUCGAUGCUCACCUGCGAGCUCCACCAUGGUUGUUCUUCCCAGAGCUUCUGCGUCGGCCUGGUUCAAAAGGCUGCGCACCUCCGUUCGAUCAACAACAGAUGCAUCAGCCCAGUUGAUCUCCCGCAGUGGGCCUCAGCCCACUCGUCGUGAGCAUCUUCAUCGCACGGAGCGCGGCCGGUCGCUAUCCGCUGCCCAGCAUUUGCUUCUUCACGGAUAGGGACGCGAAGUGAUGUGGUGAGAUACGACGAGUCCUCCGGAUGUUCCCCGGCAAGCUUUAACAGGCAAGCAUUUCCCCUAUACUCCUGUCCCUGUAGGAGUCGCUCACCUAUUUUAUUUUGCCUUCUCCCUCAUGCUAUCCUUAAGUUGCGUUCUUGUCACGUGUCCUUUCCACUUGUUACCUCAAGCAGCCCAUAUUGCCACCACCACCUCCUACGGCUAUUGUUUGGUUAUCGAGUCUGCCCUUGCGAGUCGUAGUGCAUGCUAGUGCUGUUUUAUCUUGUUACCGUUGUUGUUAUCUUAUUGGAUUAUAUGUUGGGAAGAAUCAUGGUUACUUUAGUUGUUGAUAUUUGUUUAGCGGAGGCAUCGGUGGGUCAGCUGCUCGUUUUGUGACGGCUCACUUGUGUUUCCUAAAUAUCUUAGGACCCCGAGUUCUUGUUAUCUGUUCCGAGACUGAGCCCUCUAACCACACGUGGGUAUGCUUACCGGGUCUCCCCUCGACCACUACCGGAAUCUACAUCCUUGUCCAGUGGCCACAACUAGUUUGGAUGUUUGUUUUGUUUCUCCCGGGCGUGCAAGCAUGUUUCUUUGUGGUCGGAUGAUAUGAUGUUACUUUUGGGGAAGCCGUGAGUGCCUUGUAUCCCCGUUGUCUCUUGCACGCUCGUAGGUGCGGUCCGCAUUGUUAAGAGGUCAUCAUCUAGUGGGCUCUGAUCCUCUUAGCCGUUCUCGCAACAGCUAGGUCCGCGUCGGAGUUUCGAUCGGGCUCCGAAACGGGUUAACUUAGUUAGGUGGCUUCCUGGACAUUGUUGUAGUGAAGGAGAGUGCGUGUCGUGAUAUCCACCUAUCGUAAGUGGGUUGAUCGUGCGUGUGGGCACAUUUGGGCACCCCUGCAGGGUUACAAUCUUAUCGAUAAGCCGCGUCCGCGGUUAUGGACGACUUGGAGCUGUAUGACUCGACCAUAGACAACUUACACCUGUUGUUUCAAUCAUAACCACUUGAGUAUUAAGUUAGCACAACUGCAAUAAUAACUGGUUAAAACUUGACAACCGUGUGAGUGCCUUUGUAAGUACCUCUUUGCGAAGGGGGAACACAUCGGCUGUGUUAUGUUUGCAGAGUAUAGAACUGUUAGUUAUGCGCUCUCUCACCUUCUCUGAUUAGACGAAUGUUGUAGAGUGUCUCUAUAGGUUUUUAGUGCUUGCGCGCUGCCGCUUAACUCCACCAUAUUGCCUAUGACGUUUCUCUUGCGUCCUCUAAGUCCCCUGCGUGCCUCAAGUACAAAGGACGACUGGUUGACGAAUGCUUAUACGUCCUGAAGUCUUGUUAAGUACGAACCCGUACUUAUUGCUGCUUCUACGGGAUAUAACCGGGCAGGUAUGAAGGCAUGUUCGAUGAAGACGGUGUUAGCAAGGUUACCCUUCCGGCUUGGCCUGGGCAGGGUAAUGGACGCCAUCGUUAACUUCAGGACUCUUAGUCCAAUUUGUAUCUUGUCCGUACUCGGACGUUUUCGAUCUUCUGUAUGAUUUGGAUCUUUGUAUUGUAUUUUUGUAUCUUGACUCGAUGGAGUCGCUGUUGUAAUAUAUGUCUCUUGUGGGCUCUAUUGUAAUCCUGUUGUAAUGUUACCGCUCGUGUUAAUUCCUCUGGCAUCACGUGUGUGAUUCGUCGCGCAUGUUGUGUCGGAGGGCGUCUCCGAAUCGAUAUCGUGCGGAUUUUGGCGGGAUCGCUGGAAUCCUCAGGAUACCGGUUCCGGGGCGUCACAAAGAGUCCGGAAGUACACAUCAACACAACCCACGUUCGAUAUUUUGCUUACGGAAAUAUCAAGGAACAACGGGCUCACCGGCAGUCAUUACACCCGAAUAAUUCGGGAGUGGCUGUCGAAGCAUACAUCGGUUGAAGGCAAAGUUGCGCAUACAACGGGAUUAGCAAAACCCGCAACACGAGCUGAUCACUCAAAAGUUUUGCCGACCAACGAAAUACACGAACGACUAAACGAGCAAUUAAGAUUUGCUCCUUCAAAAUU
Molecule: non-coding RNA, 2706 nt
Organism: Lolium perenne
Lineage: Eukaryota; Viridiplantae; Streptophyta; Magnoliopsida; Poales; Poaceae
Source: RefSeq, a predicted model, not a curated record